UUAAUUGUUCAGAUUCUAGUGGUCUGGACACCGUUCUCUGUGUCUUUUAUUCUUCCCGCCCAACUCUUUUGUAUGCUGGGAAAAUCUCUUCUUUAAGGGUCCACAUUACUAACUGCAAAAAAUGAUCUUUAUAGCAUGUGGUUGAUCUGAGCGUUAGUUUUAAGUGGUUUUUUACUGGUUGUGUUUAUAGUGUCUUCUAACUGCUCGCUGUCAGUUAUUAAUAUUGCCUAAUCAGUUUUGUCUUUAUAUUAACACAACCCUAUAAUUAGCUGUCUGUUUCCCACACUCAACUUUUCCAGAUUGGCUUAAACUCUAAAUAAAGGGUGAGGGGGGCAAAGGGAGUGAAAGUCACGGCAAAUCCCUUGCUGUGCAGAUAUGUAGACAGCCUACACUACAAGAAACCUCCUUCUGGCUCCAACCGCCUCAUUUUUUUCUCUUCAGCUAGUUUAUGCUCACAGUUGCCUGUUCAGAAAUGUUUAUCAAAUUAAUAAGUAACUUUGCAUACCAUAAAGGCUGUUUUGAUUUCACGUGGAGGCAAGAUUGAAUUUCUUCAUGGUUUGAUUCGCUGCUAUUGAUUCUCUCAUGGCGAUUUGGAGAACAGAGCUCGGAUGGUCUCAGCGAGCUAAUUUGUUGGUAAUGUAAUUUAUUUAUAAUGCUUUGGUUGCAGGAAGUAGAAGGAGCAUGUUCCACUCAAUACAAAGCGUAGUAUUCUUUUGUUAUUCGUUUACUCCACCAAGAUUUAUAGUGCCUAUUACUGGCCUUGGGUCCAACAGGGAAUAAAAUACAAUACCUGUCCUGGGGAAGUUUGCAUUCUAGUGGAGAGAGACAGUCAGUGAACAAAUGUUAGAUGGCAGCAAGAGAGCAAGAGGGUGGGAGGUGUCAAGAAAGGCCUCAGGGACCUGAAGGACGUGCAGAAAUUGAGGCAAGGAGUGGUCCGCACAGGUACACCCACGCGGGAAGAAAGAGUGAAGCCACUGUGAGCUCAAAGAGAUGACGGUGACAAAAGUUGGCUUUGCUCUCCGUGAGACAGGAUGCCAUGGGUGUGUUUUGAGCAGAAGAGCGACAAGAUCUGGUUAAUCAUUUAGAAGGAUCACUGGUCCUGGGGGGUGAAAGGGGGAGCAGAGGAGACAACUCGAAAGCCAUUACAGUAACCUGAGCAGGAGGGUGGUGGUGGGGUGGCUGAGAUGGAAUGGAUUAGAAGCAGCACAAGGGGAGAGACUGACAGAGUUUGCCGGUGAGUUGGACGUGGGAUGGAAAGCCAGAAGUUGGCAUUGCCCGAAUGGAAUCCUGGCAUUGGAGUGAAUUUGAGAGAGUGGGGGAGCUUGGAUGUGCUGAAGGGGCUGGUUGGCAGGUGGCUGUCAUAUUCUGGAGGCAGGACAAGGACCUGGCUGGAGAUCCAAGCGUGAGCGUCCAGGGCGGGUAGCAUGACUGAAAGUCAUGAGUCUGAAGACCAUCAUCUAGGGAGUACAAAGAGAAGAGGUCCAGAGACCAGGCCCCAGGCUCCCCAGUGUUUGAGAGGCAGCAGGAGGGGAAAAAACAGUACAGGGAACUGAGAGCGAGCCCUCAAUCAUAAAGCAAGCCAAGAAAGUGUAAUGUUCCAGAAAGCAUAUAAAUUAGUGGUGUCAGAGAGGUGGAAAUUUAUCAGUUUUUCCAGCUGCCGUGGAAAACUGGGGUAAGAUAAGACUUGAGAUUGCCCUUUGGAGUUAACAAUGCCGAGGUCUCAUCAAAACUAGGAGCUUGUUUUGUUAACAAAGAGGUUGGAAUAGGAAGAUUAGCUUGGAAUGGGUUAAACACAGAUAUGUCUUUGGAGAGUUGACUCCGAGGGAAGGCAGGGAUGGGCGAUAGCUGGAGGAGGAUGUUGGGUCCAGACAGGCAAGAAUAAAGUGUGUUUUGUGUUAAUGUGAACGGUUAAUGUGGUGGGGGAGGGAUCGAUGUUGGAGGAGAGGGGACAGUUGCUAGAGCAAUGUCAUCGUGAAGGUAGAAGGGCUGGGGGUCCGGGAAGCAAGCAGAGGGGUUGGCCCUGGCUAGGGAUCCAGGCACUUCAUGCAGGAUAACGAGAGGAGGCAGGAUGGAUGAGGAAGUUGUAAACUAUUUGAGGUUUGGGAGAAGAAGGUAUAAAAUCGGCUAGCAGUGGGAGAAGGGAUGUACCAAAGAAAUGAGUGAAGAUGGCCAGCACUACAAAGGACCCUGGUGAUAAUCCACGCGAAUUGAACUUGCCUCUUUGUGCUCACUGCAUCAGGAGAGCUUGCCCAGAAUACCUGCGAAAAUAACUAAUGUUCCAGUUUAUAUAUACACCACAAUUUGUUUAUCCAUUGGCCUAUUAUUGUGCAUUAAUAUUGUUUCCAGUUGGGGGUUAUUAUGAAUACAGCUGCUAUGAGCAUUUUUGUACAAGUCUUUAUAUGGACAUAUGUUUUCAUUUCCCCUGGGUAGGUUCCUAGAAACAGAAUCACUGGGUCGUAGAAUAGACAUAUAUUUAACUUGGAAAGAAACUGCCAGUUUUCUGAAGUGGCUGUUCUGCAAAAGUAACCAGGCGAAUGCUUCACCCUGUUGGGUAGAAAAUAAACGUAUAGUAAAUGGGAAAUGCAAGAUAGCAGAAAUUCAUGGUCUCGGCUUAGUCAUUACCGAGUCUUAGCAAAGUCACCGAACUAUUACAGACUCAAUUUCCCCAGAAGCUACACGGAAGAUAUAAACGAGGUCAUCUGCAAGUUCCCUUUUGAGAUCCCACAUUCUGUGAGUUUUGCUGAAAUUCAACCACAUGGUCAUAAACAGACAGAAAGCCUGAUACCUGCACAUUUUUAUUCUGCGGGAGUUGAGUUGCGUUUAGUGUGCAGGACAUAGGAAGAAAAUCUAGAACGUAAGGUGCAGAGGCAAAAGGAUUAGGCUUAUAUGAAGCACACAGUUGCAUGUGGAAAUGAUGUAGUCUUUAGAAGAAAACGUAAGGUGACAGAGAAUUCAACUCAGAAUUUUAUAUUAAAAAGUUGUGUACUUGUGAAUAGCUCCCAUUUUGCUUUUGUUAGGACGUACAUCCUGGGAGACACAGCUGGGUGAUUUAAGAACAAACUCCCUACACGUGCACUGUUGGGGUUGCUGUGGCUUGCUUGGAAAUGAGAGGAAUGCAACAUUGGCCUCUGUUACUACUGCAGAACCGCUGGACAAGUGUCCUGCUCAUCUGGGCACUCUCCGGCCAAGAGCAGAGAACAUUUCUGUUUCCUUCCAGCGACGGGAGAGAGCACCCCAUUGCCGUCUUUCUGUACGUCUUGUCCAUACAUGGACUUCCAUGUACGUGGCUGCAUGUCUCUGAGACAUCUCAGCUGUCUGUUCCCACACUUCAGCACUGCACGGUGAAGGAUGUGCUUCAGCAAAGACUGGGGCGCCAUGUUCCCGUGGUUGAAGCCAUCUGAUAAAUAGAGGAUGCUAGAAAAGACAGGUUGAACAUCAGUGUGAGAUCACAUUCUCCUGUAUAGUUUGCCUUUCAGGGUAAUGAGAAUUAGGGGAGGGGAGGGGACAAGCCACUGGGAGACCGCUCCAAGCCAGUGGGGAGUCUUGACUAAGCUGUGAUUGGCGGUGGAGGCAAAUGGCCAGUUGGUGCCCGUCACCCCUCGGGGUCCUGGGGUUGUGAGGUCCUCAUCCACUCAGGGACAGAUGAAUGCCCUCUGCUUUCUCAGAAGGGAUUCUGAAAGACCUGAGUUUUGAAAGGCAUUCAUAGGGGAUCUUGGAUUUGAACUUUAGAGGUCAGGCCGAACUCUUGCAACGUGCGAAGUGCCUUCCACAGCAUCCCUGGCCUGAUUGUCAGCCAGCAUCUGCUUGAGAACCUAGAGUCACCUGGAACUCAGUACCUCAGCACGUUCACUGUAGGACACACGUACUUCUCAGAACAUGCCCACAGGGUACAACCUUACCGAGCCCGUGCCGUGGGACCUUUCUUCUGUGACAUGGGUAAAGAAUCUAAAGCCAAAAGCAUCUGCACCGCUAGCAUGGAGUGGUAGCUUUGUCUGGUUUUGUUUCCCUCCCUAGGGGGGACUAGAUCAUGGGCAUAUUAUUUUUGUUCUUUCUCAGUGGGGUGAAGAACCACACAAGUAAGCGUUCUUUUCCCCAGUCAGGGACCGGCAUCUCUUAAGUGGCUCUGAUUUAUCUUUACUUUGAUCUCUGAAGAUGACUCCUUUCUUCCAUUGGGCUUCCAUUCUUCAUAGCUGUUCAAAAGUCCACGUAUUUGUAAUGCAAAAGCAGUGAUUUUCAACCAGGGCAGUUUGGUUCCCAAGGGACAUUUGACAGUUACUGGAGACCCCAUCGUUGCCAUAUCUGAUGUGGAGAUGCUAUGCGCAGGUAAUGAGUAGAGGCCAGGGAUGCUCCUGAACAGCCUUCAGGGCACCGGAGGGCCCUGUGCAACAAAGAACUACCUGGUCCAAAAGGUCUUUGCGGUGGGAGUGGGAAACUCUGGACUAAAGGAGCCAGUGGUUGCAAGCCCACCAGUAGCCCCUUCCGUUGGUGGCCAGCACAGUUCACGGGGUUGUGCUGUGGCACUCAGCUUUGUUGGUAUCUAGGGAGAUGGAAGAGUCUUAAUUUCAUGAGCAGCAGAGGUUCUGCAGUUAUUUAUAUUCUCCGUGGCUCUUACAGAAGAGUUAGAGCGGAGCCAAGUAGUUCACCAUAGAAAGAAUUCAUUGAGAAUCAGUCGUGGGGUGUGUGGUUAGAAUACGAUGUUGGCGGCUUUGCUCUUCGCUCGCUUUCAUCCGUAACUUAACUCAGAGUGGCAGACACCUUUGAAUCCUAAACAGGGACUUAUUUUUACAGCCUUCUUGGGUUUUUUUUUAGAUACAUCCAACUUCUCGCUAAUAAACCAAUGAGGUCUAGGUUACCUCUAAUUAAGAGAAGAGUGAGCAGUCAAGAUCAAAGAGAUUUAAAAGGCCUUGUGUUUUCACUCCUUUAUUCAUACAUUCCAGAAAGCAGUUUGUUUUCCAUAGUUGACGUAGUUUGCUAAAUCUGGUGCCUUGUUGGUUAUUUGGUGGAGGGCUUGUUUUGUGGGUUUUGUUUUGUAGUAGGGGAGACAGAAGGGGGAAAAAUCACGUGAAUGUGUUUUUCACGUUGUCAGAAGAAGGCAAACUCGACCUCAGUGCAGGUUUUGAUGUGUAAUAGUAGGAGAACAGACACAGGCGUUGAAUAAUUUCCCACCCACCCUUUUUAGGGGUAGAACCCAUGCUGAGAGAGGACGCAGAAGAGCUUGUCAGUCAAGGCAGAAGCUAAUUAGAUUAGCUCCAGUGCCUCUCUGGACGGCUUCCAGAAGCACACACCCUGUCACAUUUGCUGUGAGUGUCAGUGAAGGCUCCCUCUUCCCCCAUUUCUUUGACUCUAUCCAAAACCAAACUUGAAAAUGGUGGGAGUGAGCACUGCUGGGGUCCCCCCUGUGUGCGGGAUGGAAACAGGAAACACACAUUCUUUAGGGGUGUAAAAGGAGGGUCCAGGGGGUUCCCUGGGCCCACAGUGAAUGUAACUCAGGGAGACAACACCGUGGUAGGAGUAUACUGGCAGCAGAGGCCGACUGGGGGAUUCUGAAUUGCCCCACCCGCCGAAGUUCCCUUUCUCUUUCCUGGCUGGUUAGCAUGAGCAUCAAAUGACUGUUGUCACCUUUAAAUGAAAACUAAGAUUAGUGAGCUGUUGUUGAAAGAGUGGGGACCAUUUGGGAUUUCAAGGUGUUCUAGAAAUCCUCCUUUGGUAGUGCUAGUUAUUCGUGGUAAAAA
This is a long non-coding RNA of Leopardus geoffroyi (Geoffroy's cat), 5732 nucleotides long. RefSeq lists it as uncharacterized. The record is from RefSeq and is a predicted model, not a curated record. Lineage: Eukaryota; Metazoa; Chordata; Mammalia; Carnivora; Felidae. The transcript has 2 exons.